Long non-coding RNA from Ochotona curzoniae (black-lipped pika), 153 nucleotides. RefSeq lists it as uncharacterized. The record is from RefSeq and is a predicted model, not a curated record. The transcript has 3 exons. NCBI's taxonomy places the organism in Eukaryota, Metazoa, Chordata, Mammalia, Lagomorpha, Ochotonidae.
AGAGAAGAAGAAAAAUUGAGUGGAUGAAGAAACUGCGGUACAUCUACUCCAUGGAAUACUACUCAGCCAUUAAAAAGAGUGCAUUUCUACCAUUUGCAAGUGAAUGGUCCCAAAUAAAGACCAUUAUGCUCAGUGAAAAAAGCCAAUCGCAAA